Molecule: ribosomal RNA, 2786 nt
Filed under: Escherichia coli
Lineage: Bacteria; Pseudomonadati; Pseudomonadota; Gammaproteobacteria; Enterobacterales; Enterobacteriaceae
Description: bacterial LSU rRNA
Rfam family: Bacterial large subunit ribosomal RNA
Source: RNAcentral
AGCGUACACGGUGGAUGCCCUGGCAGUCAGAGGCGAUGAAGGACGUGCUAAUCUGCGAUAAGCGUCGGUAAGGUGAUAUGAACCGUUAUAACCGGCGAUUUCCGAAUGGGGAAACCCAGUGUGAUUCGUCACACUAUCAUUAACUGAAUCCAUAGGUUAAUGAGGCGAACCGGGGGAACUGAAACAUCUAAGUACCCCGAGGAAAAGAAAUCAACCGAGAUUCCCCCAGUAGCGGCGAGCGAACGGGGAGGAGCCCAGAGCCUGAAUCAGUGUGUGUGUUAGUGGAAGCGUCUGGAAAGGCGCGCGAUACAGGGUGACAGCCCCGUACACAAAAAUGCACAUACUGUGAGCUCGAUGAGUAGGGCGGGACACGUGGUAUCCUGUCUGAAUAUGGGGGGACCAUCCUCCAAGGCUAAAUACUCCUGACUGACCGAUAGUGAACCAGUACCGUGAGGGAAAGGCGAAAAGAACCCCGGCGAGGGGAGUGAAAAAGAACCUGAAACCGUGUACGUACAAGCAGUGGGAGCACGCUUCGGCGUGUGACUGCGUACCUUUUGUAUAAUGGGUCAGCGACUUAUAUUCUGUAGCAAGGUUAACCGAAUAGGGGAGCCGAAGGGAAACCGAGUCUUAACUGGGCGUUAAGUUGCAGGGUAUAGACCCGAAACCCGGUGAUCUAGCCAUGGGCAGGUUGAAGGUUGGGUAACACUAACUGGAGGACCGAACCGACUAAUGUUGAAAAAUUAGCGGAUGACUUGUGGCUGGGGGUGAAAGGCCAAUCAAACCGGGAGAUAGCUGGUUCUCCCCGAAAGCUAUUUAGGUAGCGCCUCGUGAAUUCAUCUCCGGGGGUAGAGCACUGUUUCGGCAAGGGGGUCAUCCCGACUUACCAACCCGAUGCAAACUGCGAAUACCGGAGAAUGUUAUCACGGGAGACACACGGCGGGUGCUAACGUCCGUCGUGAAGAGGGAAACAACCCAGACCGCCAGCUAAGGUCCCAAAGUCAUGGUUAAGUGGGAAACGAUGUGGGAAGGCCCAGACAGCCAGGAUGUUGGCUUAGAAGCAGCCAUCAUUUAAAGAAAGCGUAAUAGCUCACUGGUCGAGUCGGCCUGCGCGGAAGAUGUAACGGGGCUAAACCAUGCACCGAAGCUGCGGCAGCGACACUAUGUGUUGUUGGGUAGGGGAGCGUUCUGUAAGCCUGUGAAGGUGUACUGUGAGGUAUGCUGGAGGUAUCAGAAGUGCGAAUGCUGACAUAAGUAACGAUAAAGCGGGUGAAAAGCCCGCUCGCCGGAAGACCAAGGGUUCCUGUCCAACGUUAAUCGGGGCAGGGUGAGUCGACCCCUAAGGCGAGGCCGAAAGGCGUAGUCGAUGGGAAACAGGUUAAUAUUCCUGUACUUGGUGUUAUUGCGAAGGGGGGACGGAGAAGGCUAUGUUGGCCGGGCGACGGUUGUCCCGGUUUAAGCGUGUAGGCUGGUUUUCCAGGCAAAUCCGGAAAAUCAAGGCUGAGGCGUGAUGACGAGGCACUACGGUGCUGAAGCAACAAAUGCCCUGCUUCCAGGAAAAGCCUCUAAGCAUCAGGUAACAUCAAAUCGUACCCCAAACCGACACAGGUGGUCAGGUAGAGAAUACCAAGGCGCUUGAGAGAACUCGGGUGAAGGAACUAGGCAAAAUGGUGCCGUAACUUCGGGAGAAGGCACGCUGAUAUGUAGGUGAAGCGACUUGCUCGUGGAGCUGAAAUCAGUCGAAGAUACCAGCUGGCUGCAACUGUUUAUUAAAAACACAGCACUGUGCAAACACGAAAGUGGACGUAUACGGUGUGACGCCUGCCCGGUGCCGGAAGGUUAAUUGAUGGGGUUAGCGCAAGCGAAGCUCUUGAUCGAAGCCCCGGUAAACGGCGGCCGUAACUAUAACGGUCCUAAGGUAGCGAAAUUCCUUGUCGGGUAAGUUCCGACCUGCACGAAUGGCGUAAUGAUGGCCAGGCUGUCUCCACCCGAGACUCAGUGAAAUUGAACUCGCUGUGAAGAUGCAGUGUACCCGCGGCAAGACGGAAAGACCCCGUGAACCUUUACUAUAGCUUGACACUGAACAUUGAGCCUUGAUGUGUAGGAUAGGUGGGAGGCUUUGAAGUGUGGACGCCAGUCUGCAUGGAGCCGACCUUGAAAUACCACCCUUUAAUGUUUGAUGUUCUAACGUUGGCCCCUGAUCGGGGUUGCGGACAGUGUCUGGUGGGUAGUUUGACUGGGGCGGUCUCCUCCUAAAGAGUAACGGAGGAGCACGAAGGUUGGCUAAUCCUGGUCGGACAUCAGGAGGUUAGUGCAAUGGCAUAAGCCAGCUUGACUGCGAGCGUGACGGCGCGAGCAGGUGCGAAAGCAGGUCAUAGUGAUCCGGUGGUUCUGAAUGGAAGGGCCAUCGCUCAACGGAUAAAAGGUACUCCGGGGAUAACAGGCUGAUACCGCCCAAGAGUUCAUAUCGACGGCGGUGUUUGGCACCUCGAUGUCGGCUCAUCACAUCCUGGGGCUGAAGUAGGUCCCAAGGGUAUGGCUGUUCGCCAUUUAAAGUGGUACGCGAGCUGGGUUUAGAACGUCGUGAGACAGUUCGGUCCCUAUCUGCCGUGGGCGCUGGAGAACUGAGGGGGGCUGCUCCUAGUACGAGAGGACCGGAGUGGACGCAUCACUGGUGUUCGGGUUGUCAUGCCAAUGGCACUGCCCGGUAGCUAAAUGCGGAAGAGAUAAGUGCUGAAAGCAUCUAAGCACGAAACUUGCCCCGAGAUGAGUUCUCCCUGACUCCUUGA